AUUAUUUGGCCUAAAGCGUCCGUAGCCAGCUUUGUAAAUCUCCCGUUAAAUCCAACGUCCUAAGCGUUGGGCUGCGAGAGACACUGCAGAACUAGAGGGUGGGAGAGGUCAGCGGUAUUCCUGGGGUAGGGGCGAAAUCCAUUGAUCCCAGGAGGACCACCAGUGGCGAAGGCUGCUGACUUGAACACGCCUGACGGUCAGGGACGAAAGCUGGGGUAGCGAAUCGGAUUAGAUACCCGAGUAGUCCCAGCCGUAAACGAUGCAGGCUAGGUGUUGGGUUGGCCACGUGCCAGCUCAGUGCCACAGGGAAGCCAUUAAGCCUGCCGCCUGGGGAGUACGCCGCAAGGC
Molecule: ribosomal RNA, 348 nt
Filed under: uncultured archaeon
Lineage: Archaea
Description: bacterial SSU rRNA
Rfam family: Archaeal small subunit ribosomal RNA
Source: RNAcentral